GACGAACGCUGGCGGCGUGCCUAAUACAUGCAAGUCGAACGCAUAAGCUUGGUACUUGUCCCGAUCGGCUGAGCCGAGAACGGGUGAGUAACGCGUGGGAACUCUUCCUUAGAGUGGGGGACAUCAGGGGAAAACGAAUGCUAACACCGCAUAAAAACUUUAAACACAAGUUUUAAGUUUGAAAGACGCAGUUGCAUGACUCACAGACGAUCCCGCAUUGUGUUAGCUAGUUGGUGAGGUAAAGGGUCACCAAGGCGAGGAUACAUAGCCGACCUGAGAGGGUGAGCGGCCACAUUGGGACUGAGACACGGCCCAAACGCCUACGGGAGGCAGCAGUAGGGAAUCUUCGGCAAUGGACGAGAGUCUGACCGAGCAACGCCGCGGGAGUGAAGAAGGUUUUCGGAUCGUAAAACUCUGUUGUUAGAGAAGAACGUGGGUGAGAGUGGAAAGCUCAUCAAGUGACGGUAACUAGCCAGAAAGCGACGGCUAACUACGUG
This 497-nucleotide ribosomal RNA is filed under the name uncultured bacterium. Its description in RNAcentral is "partial 16S ribosomal RNA". It matches the Rfam family "Bacterial small subunit ribosomal RNA", at positions 28 to 507 of the family's 1533-position model. The record is from RNAcentral.